Molecule: long non-coding RNA, 304 nt
Organism: Aricia agestis (brown argus)
Lineage: Eukaryota; Metazoa; Arthropoda; Insecta; Lepidoptera; Lycaenidae
Exons: 3
Source: RefSeq, a predicted model, not a curated record
AAUUGCGCACAUAGACAUAGGUAAGUGGUUACUAUAGCUCGGUCACAGAACACGUAGAACUCUAGCCACUGACCUAUCUCUUUUAUUAUUCAUACGCGAAAAUAUCGCUACCGUACUGGUCCUUCGGCACACCUGUGGGAGCGAGACAGCUAAAUAUUAUAGUUGGCGAGUGAAAGAGACAAGAAGCAAUAUGGCCAAUAUGUCAAUGGCCGGAUUUUCACAUAGUCGGUGAGCGAGCUACAAUGAAUAAAUGACGGAUUUGUACCUUCUAAGGCCUCACAAAUUAUACUGUUGAGCGAGUAAA